AGUGAACGCUGGCGGUAGGCCUAACACAUGCAAGUCGAACGGCAGCACAGUAAGAGCUUGCUCUUACGGGUGGCGAGAGGCGGACGGGUGAGGAAUACAUCGGAAUCUACUUUUUCGUGGGGGAUAACGUAGGGAAACUUACGCUAAUACCGCAUACGACCUACGGGUGAAAGCAGGGGAUCUUCGGACCUUGCGCGAUUGAAUGAGCCGAUGUCGGAUUAGCUAGUUGGCGGGGUAAAGGCACACCAAGGCGACGAUCCGUAGCUGGUCUGAGAGGAUGAUCAGCCACACUGGAACUGAGACACGGUCCAGACUCCUACGGGAGGCAGCAGUGGGGAAUAUUGGACAAUGGGCGCAAGCCUGAUCCAGCCAUACCGCGUGGGUGAAGAAGGCCUUCGGGUUGUAAAGCCCUUUUGUUGGGAAAGAAAAGCAGCAGGUUAAUACCCCGCUGUUCUGACGGUACCCAAAGAAUAAGCACCGGCUAACUUCGUG
This 492-nucleotide ribosomal RNA is filed under the name uncultured bacterium. RNAcentral's name for it is "partial 16S ribosomal RNA". It matches the Rfam family "Bacterial small subunit ribosomal RNA", at positions 29 to 507 of the family's 1533-position model. The record is from RNAcentral.